GCACGGCCGGGGACCGGCCGCCGGACGAGGGAGCCGUACCCGGAGCGCGACAAGACGGCCACGAA
Molecule: regulatory RNA element, 65 nt
Organism: Pimelobacter simplex
Lineage: Bacteria; Bacillati; Actinomycetota; Actinomycetes; Propionibacteriales; Nocardioidaceae
Source: Rfam